RNAcentral lists this ribosomal RNA (338 nucleotides) under uncultured soil bacterium. RNAcentral's name for it is "bacterial SSU rRNA". It matches the Rfam family "Bacterial small subunit ribosomal RNA", at positions 26 to 396 of the family's 1533-position model. The record is from RNAcentral.
AGAACGAACGCUGGCGGCAGGCUUAACACAUGCAAGUCGAACGGUUGUAGCAAUACAGCAGUGGCAGACGGGUGAGUAACACGUGGGAACCUUCCUAGGGGUACGGAACAACUCAGGGAAACUUGAGCUAAUACCGUAUACGUCCGUAAGGAGAAAGAUUCAUCGCCCCUAGACGGGCCCGCGUAGGAUUAGGUAGUUGGUGAGGUAACGGCUCACCAAGCCUACGAUCCUUAGCUGAUCUGAGAGGAUGAUCAGCCACACUGGGACUGAGACACGGCCCAGACUCCUACGGAGCAGCAGUGGGAAUCUGGACAGUGGGCGCAAGCCUGAUCAGCAUG